GGAUUGAGUCCACAGAGCAGACCUUAGCAACCAUAUUUGGAGGGGAAGACAGAGUUGAAGCAACUUAACCAGGGUUAAAGUAGGGUCAACCUAUGGAUUCAAGGUUAGCGUAGGCUGGGCACUUGGCCAACAAGCAUAAGUUUGAUUUUCUUCAAAAUAGUAACUCCUAAUGCGAAGAGGAAGAGAGUCAGUGGCGUCUGGCUGAGGGAAGAAGGAGCCUGGCUGCACCGCUGUCUGUGGUCUGUGGCCUAGGCCAGGUACAAUUGACAGCCUCCCCACACGGAGCCACUUCUUCACGACAGGACAUCAAGAUUCUGUUCAGGACACAACCAACAUGAACCAUCACACACACUGGCAUGAUCAUUGACUUGGGAUUCUUCAAGCAGCCUUUUAGACUCUUUCUGAAACAUUUUCAAAGCAUCACGUAAGUAUUAACUGAAAUGGUUCUUCAAUGGUCCCUGUUACCCUCGGCCUCUUCCCUUCCCUUCUGUAGCCAAUGCUGAGGAAUGCGCAGAGAAAUCUCUAGUCUCCACCACAGGAAGGUAAGAGCUAGCAGCAGGGAAGACAGAGGGAUCCCCCAAAGCAUUCAUGUUUUUGCAAGUAUAACAAAUAUAGUGAAAAAUCCUCUCUUGUACGCAGUUAAAAUUUGGCAGAGCACAAACCAGGACCUGGCAAGACCUGGCAGGACCAGCAAGGCUGGGCUUCCCCGGGCUCAAUGGCUAACCAGAAAGCUAAACUGGUCUCCCCUUCGGAAACCCCCUAUUCUACCCUCCCCACCUCUAUUAGGGUGCUCCCCCACCCACCCACUCCUGCCCUCCCGCCCUGGCAUUCCCCAUAGCUGUUUUCUAAGGAGCCUCAUCUUCCUGGCUGCCGAAACAGCAUCACCCUGCACAAUACCUCUUCAGUCACAAUGCAGCACACAAUUAAACGGCAUUGAUGCCACACAGCAGCAAUACGUGCCACUUAAAACAAGCCACUCUGAGCAAAUGACUACUUUGAAUGCAGCGGACAGAAGAGUAUUCCUGAGCACCCCAUUCACCCAGAAGCAGCAUGUAAGUAAAUCUGUGCAAGUUUCCCCUUCCCUCUACCGGGAAGGGUAGGUGUCUGUUACUAGAAACAGCACUAGCCCUGUGUCUGCUCACAAGCUACUCCAUUAGGACUACCCAGAUUAGAAGGAAUGGACAGGGCCUGCUCCAGUUUGGGCUCAGGGACAGAGGGGGUAAGGAAGAAGGCAUUCUGAGUGGGAUGCAGACAACAGGUAGCUGUGAGAAAUCUAAAAGGGGUUAUGGAGUGAGCAGAGAAUAAAAGGUCGGCCCAAAGAUGAGAACCUGAGCGAAGACAAGUGGCUUAAAGCUAAAAGGCUGGCAAUAGUCAGCCAUGCCCUGAGCAGACCAGACAUGCCCUCAACAGGCCAAACAUGCCCUGCAGACCAGCCAUGCCCUGAGCAGACCUUGCCCUCCUCGGCAGUCUGCACGGCCUUGGCUGCUCCUGCUGCAGCCAUCAUACCUGCUCUGACAGCUGGCUCCCUCUCCAUGAGUUCUGCAUUCACAGAUUCAGCCAAGCAUGGUGUGAAAGGCAUAGCUAUCUGUGCUGCAAACACACAGGUUUUUGCCACCCUGGGAAGUCAUGUGUGUGUGGUUUGAUACUUGUGUGCACAUGUGUGGAUGCAUAAGGGUGGAGGCCAGGGGUAGAUGUGAGGUGCCUCCCUCCAUGAUUCCCACCUUACUUUCUGAGACAAGGUGUCUCAGGGAAUCUGGAGCUCGUCUGUUUGCGAAGUUUGGCUGGCCACUGAGCUUCAGGACCCUUCCUGUCCUACCCGUGUGGUUCCACACCAGCACUGUGCCGCAGACUUGUGCCUGGCCCUGACAUUGGUGCCGCAAUCUGAACUCAGACUCUCAUGCUUUCACGUCAGGUACCAUACCAACCCAACCGCCUUCCUAAACCAUGUCAUUGUGUCUCACACCUGCAUGAUUCACAUUCACACCAUGUGAGGUGUUCUAAGCUGCCCAGAACUGGCUUGCAGGGCUCAGGACAGGAAAAGCUUGGGUGCAGCCUCCAGUUUUAUCCCCCCAGGUCUCACAACUAACUCCUUGUAAAAAGAGGGACAACUGUCCUCUCACAUCUGUCCCUUGCUUGGGAUCUUCUCAGAGUGCUUGGUGUAGCCAUGGUCCUGUGCAUCUGUACUUGGGGAGUUCAGAAGCACCCAAGUCCUAGAUUCCUCUUCAUCUGCAUCCCUGUUUUCAUUUGCCCCUUGGUUGCCAGGAGAGUACAUGUGGCCCCUGACACUACACAAACUCACCUCUCCACCCAAUUAGCUCUGACCACUGCCAGCUCUUAGACUGGAAGUCUUGGGUCAUUUUUGAGGUUUUUCUUUUUCUCUGGUGUUAAGAAUGCCACAGGACUGUUAUAAUGCUACAAAAAUUUUACAUCUCCUUUAGUCUUUUAAAAUUAUUUCAUAAUAGAAACAGUCAUUAAGUCUUCCAACCAAAAAAAAAAAAGCCCAGGACCAGAUGGGUUUAGUGCAGAGUUCUAUCUGAUCUUCAAAGAAGACCUAAUACCAAUACUCUUCAUACUAUUCCACAAAAUAGAAACAGAAAGAACACUACCCAGGUCAUUCUAUGAAGCCACAGUUACACUGCGUAUUCCCCCUUAGAGAUGGAAUGGAUUCUGUCCAAUCAGGAACCUGUCACAAUUUCCUUUCAUAAAGGACUUCAUAAGAGAUUUUUUUUUCUACUUCUAUCAUGUUUAAUAUUCCAAAUAGACUUAAAAAACUGGUAGAGUGCAUAUUACUUUUAGCUUCAGAUGAUAUCAUGUAUAUUUAAGAGGCAUUUAACUAUUAUAAAUUAUUUUGAUGACUUAGAGAAUGUUAAUACUGAGUUGUAUAUUUUAAAAUAAAUUUUAUUAAUUUAAUAACC
This 2915-nucleotide long non-coding RNA is filed under the name Mus musculus (house mouse). Its description in RNAcentral is "RIKEN cDNA A530001N23 gene". The record is from RNAcentral. Lineage: Eukaryota; Metazoa; Chordata; Mammalia; Rodentia; Muridae.